This 299-nucleotide signal recognition particle RNA is filed under the name Callithrix jacchus (white-tufted-ear marmoset). RNAcentral describes it as "Metazoan signal recognition particle RNA (ENSCJAG00000078067.1)". It matches the Rfam family "Metazoan signal recognition particle RNA". Rfam says of the family: The signal recognition particle (SRP) is a universally conserved ribonucleoprotein. Lineage: Eukaryota; Metazoa; Chordata; Mammalia; Primates; Cebidae. The record is from Rfam by way of RNAcentral.
GCCUAGCGUGGUGGCAUGUGCCUGACAUCCCAGCUAGUCGGGAGGCCGAGGCGGGAGGAUCGCUUGAGCCCAGAAGUUCUGGGCUGUAGUGUGCUAUACCGAUCGGGUGUCCACACUAAGUUCAGCAUCAGUAUGAUGAUCUCCCAGGAGUGGGGGACCACUAGGUUGCCUAAGGAGGGGUGAACCGACCCAGAACGGAAAUAGAGCAGGUCAAAACUCCCAUGCUGAUCAGUAGUGGGAUCGCGCCCAUGAAUAGCCAUUACACUCCAUCCUGGGCAACAUAGCAAGACCCGUCUCUU